UAGAGUUUGAUCCUGGCUCAGAAUGAACGCUGGCGGCGUGCUUAACACAUGCAAGUCGUACGAGAACGUCUUAGCUUGCUAAGACUAUUAAAGUGGCGCACGGGUGAGUAACGCGUGGGUAAUCUCCCUUCGAAUUGGGGAUAACGUUGCGAAAGCGACGCUAAUACCGGAUAAUAUCCAUUAUUCUUCGGGAUUUUGGAUCAAAGGUGGCCUCUACUUGUAAGCUACUGUUUGAAGAUGAGCCCGCGUACCAUUAGCUUGUUGGUGGGGUAAAGGCCUACCAAGGCUACGAUGGUUAGCUGGUCUGAGAGGAUGAUCAGCCACACUGGAACUGACACACGGUCCAGACUCCUACGGGAGGCAGCAGUGAGGAAUUUUGCGCAAUGGGGGAAACCCUGACGCAGCAACGCCGCGUGAGUGAUGAAGGCUUUCGGGUCGUAAAGCUCUGUCAAGUGGGAAGAACCUAUACAGUGUUAAUACCACUGUGUACUGACGGUACCACUGAAGGAAGCACCGGCUAACUCCGUGCCAGCAGCCGCGGUAAUACGGGGGGUGCAAGCGUUAUUCGGAAUCAUUGGGCGUAAAGGGCACGUAGGCGGCUUGGUUAGUCAGAUGUGAAAGCCCGGGGCUUAACCCCGGAAGUGCAUUUGAUACUGCCAGGCUUGAGUAUGGGAGAGGGAAGUGGA
RNAcentral lists this ribosomal RNA (686 nucleotides) under uncultured delta proteobacterium. Its description in RNAcentral is "bacterial SSU rRNA". It matches the Rfam family "Bacterial small subunit ribosomal RNA", at positions 1 to 665 of the family's 1533-position model. Lineage: Bacteria; Deltaproteobacteria. The record is from RNAcentral.